Molecule: ribosomal RNA, 1489 nt
Filed under: Lactiplantibacillus plantarum
Lineage: Bacteria; Bacillati; Bacillota; Bacilli; Lactobacillales; Lactobacillaceae
Description: bacterial SSU rRNA
Rfam family: Bacterial small subunit ribosomal RNA
Source: RNAcentral
GACGAACGCUGGCGGCGUGCCUAAUACAUGCAAGUCGAACGAACUCUGGUAUUGAUUGGUGCUUGCAUCAUGAUUUACAUUUGAGUGAGUGGCGAACUGGUGAGUAACACGUGGGAAACCUGCCCAGAAGCGGGGGAUAACACCUGGAAACAGAUGCUAAUACCGCAUAACAACUUGGACCGCAUGGUCCGAGCUUGAAAGAUGGCUUCGGCUAUCACUUUUGGAUGGUCCCGCGGCGUAUUAGCUAGAUGGUGGGGUAACGGCUCACCAUGGCAAUGAUACGUAGCCGACCUGAGAGGGUAAUCGGCCACAUUGGGACUGAGACACGGCCCAAACUCCUACGGGAGGCAGCAGUAGGGAAUCUUCCACAAUGGACGAAAGUCUGAUGGAGCAACGCCACGUGAGUGAAGAAGGGUUUCGGCUCGUAAAACUCUGUUGUUAAAGAAGAACAUAUCUGAGAGUAACUGUUCAGGUAUUGACGGUAUUUAACCAGAAAGCCACGGCUAACUACGUGCCAGCAGCCGCGGUAAUACGUAGGUGGCAAGCGUUGUCCGGAUUUAUUGGGCGUAAAGCGAGCGCAGGCGGUUUUUUAAGUCUGAUGUGAAAGCCUUCGGCUCAACCGAAGAAGUGCAUCGGAAACUGGGAAACUUGAGUGCAGAAGAGGACAGUGGAACUCCAUGUGUAGCGGUGAAAUGCGUAGAUAUAUGGAAGAACACCAGUGGCGAAGGCGGCUGUCUGGUCUGUAACUGACGCUGAGGCUCGAAAGUAUGGGUAGCAAACAGGAUUAGAUACCCUGGUAGUCCAUACCGUAAACGAUGAAUGCUAAGUGUUGGAGGGUUUCCGCCCUUCAGUGCUGCAGCUAACGCAUUAAGCAUUCCGCCUGGGGAGUACGGCCGCAAGGCUGAAACUCAAAGGAAUUGACGGGGGCCCGCACAAGCGGUGGAGCAUGUGGUUUAAUUCGAAGCUACGCGAAGAACCUUACCAGGUCUUGACAUACUAUGCAAAUCUAAGAGAUUAGACGUUCCCUUCGGGGACAUGGAUACAGGUGGUGCAUGGUUGUCGUCAGCUCGUGUCGUGAGAUGUUGGGUUAAGUCCCGCAACGAGCGCAACCCUUAUUAUCAGUUGCCAGCAUUAAGUUGGGCACUCUGGUGAGACUGCCGGUGACAAACCGGAGGAAGGUGGGGAUGACGUCAAAUCAUCAUGCCCCUUAUGACCUGGGCUACACACGUGCUACAAUGGAUGGUACAACGAGUUGCGAACUCGCGAGAGUAAGCUAAUCUCUUAAAGCCAUUCUCAGUUCGGAUUGUAGGCUGCAACUCGCCUACAUGAAGUCGGAAUCGCUAGUAAUCGCGGAUCAGCAUGCCGCGGUGAAUACGUUCCCGGGCCUUGUACACACCGCCCGUCACACCAUGAGAGUUUGUAACACCCAAAGUCGGUGGGGUAACCUUUUAGGAACCAGCCGCCUAAGGUGGGACAGAUGAUUAGGGUG